RNAcentral lists this ribosomal RNA (777 nucleotides) under uncultured Neocallimastigales. RNAcentral's name for it is "partial large subunit ribosomal RNA". It matches the Rfam family "Eukaryotic large subunit ribosomal RNA", at positions 22 to 646 of the family's 3401-position model. Lineage: Eukaryota; Fungi; Neocallimastigomycota; Neocallimastigomycetes; Neocallimastigales. The record is from RNAcentral.
GUACACGCUGUGACUAGCAUAUCAAUAAGCGGAGGAAAAGAAACUAACAAGGAUUCCCCUAGUAACGGCGAGUGAAGCGGGAAGAGCUCAAAUUUGAAAUCUUAAAGGGUUUCCCUUUACGAAUUGUAGUUUAAAGAAGUGUUUUCUGUUGAGGUUUUGGUAAAAGUUCUUUGGAAUAGGACAUCAUAGAGGGUGAGAAUCCCGUAUUUGACCUUUACUUUCAACUUUGUGAUACACUUUCAAAGAGUCGGAUUGUCUGGGAAUGCAGUCCAAAAUGGGUGGUAAAUUUCAUCUAAAGCUAAAUAUUGGCGAGAGACCGAUAGCGAACAAGUACCGUGAGGGAAAGAUGAAAAGAACUUUGAAAAGAGAGUUAAACAGUACGUGAAAUUGUCAAAAGGGGAGCGUUUGUACACCAGUGUUGUUUUUCUGAAAAUCAAUUAAAGAACUGUUUAUGCUAAGUUGUUUAGACUUUAUCAGCUAACUGUUUAGUUUUGAGCUUUUCUUUAAUGCACUUUUCAGUUAACAAGUCAACAUCAAUUUCUUUUGCUGUAAAAAAGCUUGAGGGAAGGUGGCUUGAGAUUCGUCUUAAGUGUUUAUAGCCUCUUGCCUAUGCAGUCGGAGAGAUUGAGGUCUGCAGCGUAGAUCCUUCGGGGCUAAAUGCAUUUGUGCUAAGUUAUAGCAUUUCAUAGACAACUUGUUGACUAUGAUUUGUCUUGUAGCUUACUCGCUUAUGUUAUUUUACCUACGCUUAGGAUGUUGACAGCAGUAUAGACUGUA